This 97-nucleotide transfer RNA is filed under the name Sinomonas atrocyanea. RNAcentral describes it as "tRNA-Ala". The record is from RNAcentral. Lineage: Bacteria; Bacillati; Actinomycetota; Actinomycetes; Micrococcales; Micrococcaceae.
CCCCCGCGGGGUGGUCAGCAUCGGCCUGGUCUACUCGCACUGGCCCGCGAGCAGGCAGGAGGUCCUGCUGCGGCGGUUCGAGACCGUCAUGGGGCGC